RNAcentral lists this transfer RNA (73 nucleotides) under Ailuropoda melanoleuca (giant panda). It matches the Rfam family "tRNA". Rfam says of the family: Transfer RNA (tRNA) molecules are approximately 80 nucleotides in length. Their secondary structure includes four short double-helical elements and three loops (D, anti-codon, and T loops). The record is from Rfam by way of RNAcentral. Lineage: Eukaryota; Metazoa; Chordata; Mammalia; Carnivora; Ursidae.
GCCUGGCUGGCUCAGUCAGUAAAUCAUGUGACUCUCAAUCUCAGGGUCCUGAGUUCAAACCCCAGGUUGGGCA